Molecule: ribosomal RNA, 275 nt
Filed under: Lysinibacillus sphaericus
Lineage: Bacteria; Bacillati; Bacillota; Bacilli; Caryophanales; Bacillaceae
Description: partial 16S ribosomal RNA
Rfam family: Bacterial small subunit ribosomal RNA
Source: RNAcentral
UUUUAUGGAGAGUUUGAUCCUGGCUCAGGACGAACGCUGGCGGCGUGCCUAAUACAUGCAAGUCGAGCGAACAGAGAAGGAGCUUGCUCCUUUGACGUUAGCGGCGGACGGGUGAGUAACACGUGGGCAACCUACCUUAUAGUUUGGGAUAACUCCGGGAAACCGGGGCUAAUACCGAAUAAUCUGUUUCACCUCAUGGUGAAAUAUUGAAAGACGGUUUCGGCUGUCGCUAUAGGAUGGGCCCGCGGCGCAUUAGCUAGUUGGUGAGGUAACGG